Molecule: long non-coding RNA, 319 nt
Filed under: Bos indicus x Bos taurus (hybrid cattle)
Lineage: Eukaryota; Metazoa; Chordata; Mammalia; Artiodactyla; Bovidae
Description: lncRNA (ENSBIXG00005012404.1)
Source: RNAcentral
CUGGAUUAGAUAGUAGUGUCCUAAUUGAUAAUGAAGGGUUUGAACUAACAAAUGAGUCUUGUUUGGAGGGAGCCUUGCUGUGGAGCAUGUUAGGGGAGGAGAUGAAGUCAGUGAGUGCUCGGGCUCUAGACUGAAAGGGACUUGACUCUGAACCCAGUCCUGAAGCCUUAGUGGUGGCAGAAGGAAACCAUGAGAAAAUCUGCUUUCUGAAAAAUCAUGUCUUGACUCACACAGUGUUUCUGAGGGAAAGCAGUGGAGCCUGCAGAUACAUGGCAAGUGAUUUCCAUUUUACCUGGUGUGUUUCAUGAAGGAAGUUAAG